CUCCCCGAAAGCUAUUUAGGUAGCGCCUCGUGAAUUCAUCUUCGGGGGUAGAGCACUGUUUCGGCUAGGGGGUCAUCCCGACUUACCAACCCGAUGCAAACUACGAAUACCGAAGAAUGUUAUCACGGGAGACACACGGCGGGUGCUAACGUCCGUCGUGAAGAGGGAAACAACCCAGACCGCCAGCUAAGGUCCCAAAGUCAUGGUUAAGUGGGAAACGAUGUGGGAAGGCACAGACAGCCAGGAUGUUGGCUUAGAAGCAGCCAUCAUUAAAGAAAGCGUAAUAGCUCACUGGUCGAGUCGGCCUGCGCGGAAGAUGUAACGGGGCUAAACCAUGCACCGAAGCUGCGGCAGCGACACUAUG
Molecule: ribosomal RNA, 364 nt
Filed under: Klebsiella pneumoniae
Lineage: Bacteria; Pseudomonadati; Pseudomonadota; Gammaproteobacteria; Enterobacterales; Enterobacteriaceae
Description: bacterial LSU rRNA
Rfam family: Bacterial large subunit ribosomal RNA
Source: RNAcentral